RNAcentral lists this small RNA (16 nucleotides) under Arabidopsis thaliana (thale cress). RNAcentral's name for it is "ATSL307560". The record is from RNAcentral. Lineage: Eukaryota; Viridiplantae; Streptophyta; Magnoliopsida; Brassicales; Brassicaceae.
AGAAGAAAACUAGAAA